RNAcentral lists this ribosomal RNA (219 nucleotides) under uncultured Synergistaceae bacterium. RNAcentral's name for it is "partial 16S ribosomal RNA". It matches the Rfam family "Bacterial small subunit ribosomal RNA", at positions 1164 to 1382 of the family's 1533-position model. The record is from RNAcentral. Lineage: Bacteria; Thermotogati; Synergistota; Synergistia; Synergistales; Synergistaceae.
AGUGAGGAAGUGGGGAUGACGUCAAAUCAGCAGGCCCUUACGUCCAGGGCUACACACGUGCUACAAUGGCCGGCACAACGGGAAGCGAGUUCGCGAGGACGAGCGGAUCCCUCAAAGCCGGUCGCAGUUCGGAUUGAAGUCUGCAACUCGACUUCAUGAAGCUGGAAUCGCUAGUAAUCGUGGAUCAGCCAAGCCGCGGUGAAUACGUUCCCGGGCCUU